CUGCUCAGCAAAUCCUCACUUCCAUUUCUGAUUUAGAAUUUUUUAAAACAAUACGCAACAUGGGCCUUUAAACAAAUGCAGCUAGAUUGCAAUUUAUCUGAAUGCGGAUUAAUGCAAUGUAGAGAACAAGACAUUUCAUAACACAAGAAAGAGGCGUAAGACUGGGAGGACAAGUCAAUAUUAUGAAUUCUCAGAACUGGAACAGCAAGCAUUGGAAAUCAUGGAGCCUCCAGAGCUGAUAGAACAGGAUAUUUUGAAGCCAUGGGCUUCUCUGAACACAGUCCCUGACUAUCACCAUGAGGCCCCACAAUCCAGGGAUGCUAGAAGGAGCAAGUUUUGGAGUAUGAAUAACCUUCCUCAUCCCACAGAUUAUGUUCUUAACGUACUAUUGAGCAUUUUUUAUUUUGCUGGAUUCUUUAAAUAAACUAAAGACUAGAAAUGUAUGUUGAAGAUAGUAAGGAGUGAACAGAACCUUCUGCUAUUUUAAGGGAGGCAUAAACCUGUUUCAGACAACUGGUGGAAGAUUCACACUUUCAUUCACCUAUCAUCCCACAGGCUCAUUGGUCUUAAAACUCCACAGAUUGUGGCUAUCAAAUUAUUCAAUAAUAUGAUCAUGUAAAUCCUUUCCCAACUAAAGCAUCCCUGUAUCAGAAACAGUUUGAAAUUGAUAAAAACCUUUUUCAUACUCUGUCUUACCAUUUGAACCAUGACAGAUUAAUUCACCAUUGCAACACAAUGGAGAAAUAUCCUUUGCCUGGAGCCUCUCCACUAAUAUAGUCAAGGGUAAUCUGUAGCUUUAAAAAACUGUAAUGUAACUGUUUUAAUUUGGUAAAAUGCUAUUGCAAUCCUGAAGCAGGAUAUUGGGUUUCAAUUGAUAUUUUUAUUUAAGUAUUAUGGUGAAAAUUAGAUCCAUCUAGUAACUGUAAUCUCUCAAACCAAACCUUUAUCAAAUAGCUAUUGAUUCCAUUCUUAUGCAAAAUAUACUGCUGCAGGCUGCACUUUAAAAGCAUUUUCCAACACAACAGUUUGAAAUGGUUUAGAUCAGCCCUUUCCAGAUGUAAGGCAAGAGCUGAGCUGAAUCUGAGAAAGUACACAUGUUUGUUUGCUAUAGUUGCCUAAGCUUAUAAAAUGUUAUCUGCCACAAAAUAUUAUAGCAAUAAAAUGUUCUGAUGUGUAAA
Molecule: long non-coding RNA, 1178 nt
Organism: Carcharodon carcharias (great white shark)
Lineage: Eukaryota; Metazoa; Chordata; Chondrichthyes; Lamniformes; Lamnidae
Exons: 2
Source: RefSeq, a predicted model, not a curated record